GGGGCUAUAGCUCAGCUGGGAGAGCGUCUCGCUGGCAGCGAGAAGGUCGUCGGUUCGAUCCCGUCUAGCUCCACCA
Molecule: transfer RNA, 76 nt
Filed under: Gammaproteobacteria bacterium
Lineage: Bacteria; Pseudomonadati; Pseudomonadota; Gammaproteobacteria
Also listed under: 2 other names
Description: tRNA-Ala
Rfam family: tRNA
About the family: Transfer RNA (tRNA) molecules are approximately 80 nucleotides in length. Their secondary structure includes four short double-helical elements and three loops (D, anti-codon, and T loops).
Source: RNAcentral